CUCCGGAUCGCGGUCGCCUCGCGCCGUGCCCUGUCCGGGCCGGCCACGUCCGAUCCCAAGGCCCGCAGCGAGGCAGCGCGAAGAGUCCACACGGCAAGAGCUCUGGACGGCCUCUGAGAGCUGACACUGGCUCUUGGCUCACAGGCCGCAAGAAAAUGGAGGACCUCAGCCCUCCAGUCACAAGAAAGACCAUAAAUUUCGCCACCACCUGAAUGAACUGGGAAGACAGUCCUGAGCUCCCGGCCUGUGAGGCUAUCUGAGGAGAAGCAAGAUUUACGAGCUGUCCCACCAUGAGCUGCAUAAUCUCUAAAGGAAAUUUCUUGUCAUCUACCCACAUCAGUACUUACAUUGGAAGAGCAACAGCAUUGGUGUCUUCCACCUGAACACCCUGAAAACAGAUCAUUGUUGACAAGCGUGGUCACCGGUGUGACAGCCCUCGCCCAGCUACAUUGUGGAUUUGCCCAGAUGGCCACUGCUUACAGGCCAAGUGGACAGUGCUGUGUACGGGGGUCAGCAAACUGAAAGGGCUUUGCGAGCCAUACAGUUUCUGUUGCACUCAGCUCUGCUGUUGUGCUGUGAAAGAUAAAUGAUGCAGAAACACAUGAGCGUGACCAGAGUUGGUCCACAGGUUACAGUCGGUUGCCCCAUCUGUGGCCACACCACGUGAUUUGCAGAGCCCCGUGCAAAAGACCCACCCCACUGAACUAGAGAAUCACUGUGAAAGGCAGUCCCCUGUGUUCGGGCAUUAUAUCUACAAAGGACUGAUAAAUUACAACAUGCGAAUCCGUUAUCCACUGUCAACAUGUUUGCACAGAUUCAAUUACCCCUGAAGUACAGCCUGGAGAUCAUGGGAUGACAUUUCCACAAAGAAAGUGCCCCCUAACUUGGACCACUUGUUUCAUAGACAUAUGCCCCUGGUCACCAGGGACUCCUGAGCACAAAUAUGGGCUGUUUGAUGAG
This is a long non-coding RNA of Mustela erminea (ermine), 960 nucleotides long. RefSeq lists it as uncharacterized. The record is from RefSeq and is a predicted model, not a curated record. Lineage: Eukaryota; Metazoa; Chordata; Mammalia; Carnivora; Mustelidae. The transcript has 3 exons.